CCCUUAGAUGUUCUGGGCCGCACGCGCGCUACACUGACGAACUCAACGAGCUUAUCACCUUGGCAGAGAUGUCUGGGUAAUCUUUUGAAAGUUCGUCGUGCUGGGGAUAGAUGAUUGUAAUUAUUCGUCUUGAACGAGGAAUUCCUAGUAAGUGUGAGUCAUCAGCUCGCGCUGAUUACGUCCCUGCCCUUUGUACACACCGCCCGUCGCUCCUACCGAUUGAAUGGUCCGGUGAGGUUCUCGGAUUUUUUCUGUUGUUUGGUUCGCUAAACGAUUGAAGAGAGAAGUUACCCAAACCUUACCAUUUAGAGGAAGGAGAAGUCGUAACA
This 329-nucleotide ribosomal RNA is filed under the name uncultured eukaryote. RNAcentral describes it as "partial 18S ribosomal RNA". It matches the Rfam family "Eukaryotic small subunit ribosomal RNA", at positions 1470 to 1796 of the family's 1831-position model. The record is from RNAcentral.